This is a long non-coding RNA of Jaculus jaculus (lesser Egyptian jerboa), 212 nucleotides long. RefSeq lists it as uncharacterized. Lineage: Eukaryota; Metazoa; Chordata; Mammalia; Rodentia; Dipodidae. The record is from RefSeq and is a predicted model, not a curated record. The transcript has 3 exons.
UGCUGGAAAGAGUGACUGCCACAUCCCCAUCACAAACUGCUACCAUUCAAACACCUCAGAAGCUGUAUGCAAAAUCAAACCUAAAAUGUGCUCUACUGUCUCCAAAGCAGCUAGAAUCAGGGAUGUUGUAGCUAUAGAACUGCUGCUGAGGUCAUGUGGAGGAGUUUCACUUUUUCUGCAGCAUCAGUGCUAGAAGGGAUGACUCAGAAGGC